CAAGAUGGCGGUUUGUGAUUUAGGGGGAUUCUUGGGGUUUGUUACGGCUUUCUUUCCGAAGCUUUUAAGAGGAUUGCUUUGCAUCCGAUCAGACACAAGUCUUUAUUGGGUGGAGGUAAUGCAUAAACCCCCGGAGUUAUUGGAAAAAGAAUUAAUUGGGUGGGCCAGAACUGCGUCUGGUUUGGCAAACCUGCCGCAGAAAAGGGAAAUAAUUGAAAGGCGCUCCGAGUAGGGAAUGAAAUUAAGCCGAGACUGCAGUGCGAACGGGAGGAGACCGCAGUGGCGGAAAAGGAGCGAAAGUGGCUGAAGUUCUCAGUAGCAAGUCUUACUGAGUUCAAUGGGACUUACUCCCUGGUAAGAGCGAUUACCGAACUGCAGCCUUAGUGACUAAGAACGCGCGAGUCGGAUUUGCAGAUCGGCAUCAAAUCCUAUUUUGUUUGUGGGAUUAUUAUUAUUUUAAACCGAUUACCGCUCCUCUUCUCUCCGCAAACUGGGUUGAGCAAGAAAGUUGUGAAAAAGCCGGACUCAGCUGAGAGCAUUGCCAUACAAAAGACAAUGGAUAUUAUCUCAAAAAAUGGAUGCUCUGCCAACAAACCAGAAAGUUUUUCUAAACUACAAUAUGCAGUACUGUGUUAAUACUAUGUACCUCUUACGUUCUACAAGUGUUAAGAGGACCUAUUAGCAGUUAAGUGAGAUGUUGGUGUAGAAAAACUCAUUUCAGCUUAUUUUUAUUCUCCUACAUCAUUUUUUCUUAAGAAUGUAAUUCUGUUUUACCACAUGUCUGUAGUACUGACCUGUGUGUAUUUUGAAAAUGGUCUUUCCAGAUUUUACUGUGAAAGGGUUCAGUGUAAAACUUUCCUCCUGAAAUGUGAUUAAAGUGUCAUUUUGC
Long non-coding RNA from Elgaria multicarinata webbii, 889 nucleotides. RefSeq lists it as uncharacterized. NCBI's taxonomy places the organism in Eukaryota, Metazoa, Chordata, Lepidosauria, Squamata, Anguidae. The transcript is spliced from 2 exons. The record is from RefSeq and is a predicted model, not a curated record.